This 984-nucleotide long non-coding RNA is filed under the name Neogobius melanostomus (round goby). Its description in RNAcentral is "lncRNA (ENSNMLG00000007906.1)". The record is from RNAcentral. Lineage: Eukaryota; Metazoa; Chordata; Actinopteri; Gobiiformes; Gobiidae.
UGUGGGUCAACUUACACCAGUUUGGGAUAAAAAGGCUAAACCAUGAACAAAAAAGUAAUAAACAAAUGCUUUUAAAAUAACAGCUGUUCAGAAAUAACUUUCAAUCUCUGGGUUUAUCCAAAAAUAUCAUCAGACAAAAACAAAAUAAUUUUACAGACUUGCAGUGUGGCUUUUAUUCAAUUAUUUUUCAUACUGUGUAAAAGUACAACGGCUGUUCUUUAUGUUGUGGGUGGUACCUCGGGGUGUCGCUGCUCCCCCACCGGAACUGUGUUAAAUAGGAAGUUUGGCAUUCCCCCACUAGGUGCCAGUUUCCGUGGGAGGCCAGGGCGUUUGCUGGGCCCACGCCGUGAUUGUUUGUUUGAUUGUUUGGACCGUACAUGCACGAGGGUUUUAGCCGUGCUGAUCUGUGCUGUUGAGUUGGAACUGUGUGUGGGAUUCGACGCAUAGUGGCAUUGUCUCCUGCUGUCCUUGUAGUUUUGUUUUUGUUUAGUUAGUCCGUCCCGCAUUCGUAGCCUGUGCUUGGGAGUUCACUCUGUACGGGCGGACUAACUAGUUUCUUAUGUUUUUAAUAUUUGUUUGUUAUUUUUCGGGUCACUUCCCUCAAAAAACCUGCUUACUGCAGAGUCAGACUUAUUGAUCCAAUCGUGUGUGGUGUUUACGUUGCAGUGUUUUGCUGUGCGCUUGCGGUGCCUUUUCAAUAUACAGUAUUGCAUGUUGUUGGGUUUGCGGGGUUGCCCGUUUUACACAUGUUUUGUAGUGAAUUUGGAUCAUAGGCUCUUUGUGGGUCAGUAUGGUAGCAUGGGCUGUUGUCCCCUUAUUUAAUGAUUUAAGAAUAAAUAACGUAAACUUUUUCUUCUGACUCUGCUCGUUUAUAUCGACUCACGGUAACAUUUAGACCAGCACCUGGGAUUCUGCGGGUUGCUGUGGGGAUUAGCCCAAUUGGCUAACAGGAUAAAUACAACAGUGAGAACAUGUAAAUUUGAU